Molecule: ribosomal RNA, 426 nt
Filed under: uncultured Glomeromycotina
Lineage: Eukaryota; Fungi; Glomeromycota
Description: SSU rRNA
Rfam family: Eukaryotic small subunit ribosomal RNA
Source: RNAcentral
AGCAGCCGCGGUAAUUCCAGCUCCAAUAGCGUAUAUUAAAGUUGUUGCAGUUAAAAAGCUCGUAGUUGAAUUUCGGGGUUAGUAGGCCGGUCGUGCCACAGGUAUGUACUGGUCUCACUGAUUCCUCCUUCCUGAUGAACCGUAAUGCCAUUAAUUUGGUGUUGCGGGGAAACUGGACUGUUACUUUGAAAAAUUAGAGUGUUUAAAGCAGGCUAACGCUUGAAUACAUUAGCAUGGAAUAAUGAAAUAGGACGUUCGAUCCUAUUUUGUUGGUUUCUAGGAUUGACGUAAUGAUUAAUAGGGAUAGCUGGGGGCAUUAGUAUUCAAUUGUCAGAGGUGAAAUUCUUGGAUUUAUUGAAAGACUAACUACUGCGAAAGCAUUUGCCAAGGAUGUUUUCAUUAAUCAAGAACGAAAGUUAGGGGAUC